CCUCUUUUUCGGGUAUAGCUGAUUCGAGUUCUUCUCUGAUCUUGGAUUCUACUAAUGGGUUCUUGGAAACAAGCCAGAAAAACCAGGUGAGAGCUGAACUGGUAGUGUCCCGUCCCGCGAUCAUGAAAUUUAGAAUGGUGUCUCUAAGAAAUUUAUGGUCGCAUUUCAACCCCAUGGUGAUAUCUUCACUCAUAUACGACGUUAACAGAUCGACACCAUCUUCCUCUUCUUGCAAGUUGAUUAUUCCUUUACUUAAUUCGUCUCGUUUCUUUGAUAUAUAUUCAGCUAUAGUAUGAUCUAGGGUUUCCCAAGCUUUUUGGUGUUUCUUCUCUUUUCCAAUCCCUAGCCACCUUUGUAGUCUCCAAAGGGUUUCAGGCAAGACAUGACGAUGAAGUAUAGCUUCUUCAGCAUCUUCCAAGGCUGUGGCAAAUGGAACUUCAGGUAAUUCAAUGGAGAGGCAUUUGGAGUCGAAGCCGGUCACCAACAUGCAUGUGGUAUCAAAAGUAAGCCUUUGGAACACGUCCUGCAAGUCCAUCGCUCGGUCUUCUUGUUCCGACAGAUAAUCAAGUAUUGGAAGAAGCCCUUUCUCCACUUUAUUCUGGGUGAUUUUCCCAAGAAACCGGUACAACCGCACAUUGUUGAUCAUCAGUUGACCGAGUUUUCUUUGUUUACGCCAUGACUCGGCGUCGGAAUUGAAAAUCCCAUCGCCCAAAAAAUCAAAAAUCUUGCUGAACUCAGACCCUUUUGGGAAAUUCGAGAAGUGACUGCUCAUAAUGUAGUGCACAUUGGCAGGAUCAGUGGUGACUAGAAGAUCCAUGUUACAGAACCAAGGUCCUUUGACUAGAAAAGUGCACCCACUUUUCUCUAGAAUAUCGGUAACCCUAUCGUGGAUGCGGUGGAGGUGAAGGAAGACGCUCGGAAACAUUCCAAGAAGGGGCCAGUUCCAUGGCAGAUCAUUUAUGUUCCAGAAUCUACCAAGAAUGAUAAAGAAAAUGACUGCCAAGAGGAUUUCAGGGUAGCCCAGUAAAGCCAUUAGAGCUGCACUUUGCUUAGAGCUAGGGUUUGUCAGCUCUACCAUACCAUAUUUGUAGUGCAUUGAGGACCCCUGCGGGGGGAGAAGCAAUUAUUAUUGAUUUUAUUGGGUGAUGCAGACGCUAACCGAACCAUAAUUACAACGCAUUGGUUGGCUAAUGGGAGGAUGUGGUUGGAUGUCUUCUGAUCCCACGUCUGAAUUGGUAACUAUUUAGGCAACUACCCAUCACCCAACACUGUUAGAUUUUGAAGGAUUUUAAUUAAGGAAAUAUGAUACAACUUGUACUACUGGCCAUCAACCUAUAUAAUUGAAUCUGAAUUGUUAAUAAAUGUACAAAGAAAUGAAAUCAAAGUCUAACAAAAUAAUAUAAAAAAUUGAGACCUACUCAAAAAAAAGAAGAGACAAUUUACUUUUUGAUACCAUGAAAAUAACCCAUACAUUUAUACUUUGUCAAUAAUUUUCGACAUCUAGAUAGUUGAAGUUGUACAGAAACACAGAGAUUAGGAGAAAAAUUUUCAGUCAUAAAUAUUUUUGCAUGUGUUAAUUCAUAUUCUUGAUCACCUACCAACCGUGUUGGCUUCAGGGUAGGCAUCAUUGCCAUUGUUAGUGUGGGACAAGUUUUCAGUCUUUCAGGCUAAUGGUAGCUAGGAGAUCAAUUUGGCCUGCUGCUGUAUCUAUAUAGACAGUAUUCAUAUUUAAGAUCAUAGUAAGUAUCAACCAAACCUCCAAACCUAUAAUUGUAAAUGUCAUAACCCCACUCCAGUAAUAUUUUAGAAUUCUAUUUGAAUUCCACCAUUUCCUCCUCUGGCACCACAUUUAAAAAAUAAAAAAAAAAUCAAAAUACAUGUGUGGAAUUGUACCAUUCCUUCAUCUUAAUCCACGCUCACCAAAAAUUCUAACCCUAAUUUCACCUUUCUUCCCCAUCAUCCCUACCACCUUUUUUUCAUUCUCCAUUUUAUUUUCUUAAUUUCCUUUUGCACCCAUUUAGCCCUAGUUGUUGUAAUUGCUUGUGGCUAUGACUAUUCCUCUUCAGUCUUUUUGUUUUUACUUUUUUUUCCUUUUUGAAUUUGAAAUGAGGGAGAAGAUGGAAAUGAAUGAAAGAAAAUAAAAUAAAGUGAGGAAAGAAAAAGGGUGAUGGAAAUUUAGAGUAGGUUUCAAAUUUCAUAACCACCCUUUUGUUGGUUUGUUUAUCCUUUUUGCUCAUGCUACACAUUCCAAUCAAAUUUUUGUGUUAGCUUGGCAUCCAAUGUUGCUUUCACAAGUAUCAUCUUUUCUUUUAUAUCAUUAAAUAUAUUCAAUAAAUUUAAAUGUAUUUUCAAGUUGUCAUACAUAUUGUUUUCUUCAAUAAAAUAACAUAUUAAUAUAUGCUUUAUUGCUUUUUCUUUUUUUCUUUUUAAGUUUUUUCAAUAUUUUUAUGAGUUUUAAAUAAUUUCGAUUCGACUUAUAUUUGUUAUUUGAUGUUUUUCAAUAUUUUUUUUAUAAAUAACUAACCAUUGAUAUUUCACAGUUUCUGAUAUUUUAAUUAUUUAUUGGAUCUACUCUUUGAAAAAAAUUAAGAAAUUUGAUAUUGGGUUGAUUGCUAUCAAUAUUAUUGUGAUAAUAGUUGAACCAAGACUAUAAUUUCUUAGUAUAUUAGAAUUAUUUUAUUAAUAUUUGAGUUUGGUUUUCCUUAGGAUUUGGAAGACUUGUACUUUUAUUAGGAAUUUGGUUUUUAUUAGAAUUAGGUAUAUAUAUAUGAUAAUUUUUUUUAUAUAAUUAUUUGUUUUUUUUUCCUCAUAGCUUUUUGGAGAAAUUAUUCUUGUGUUGGAGAGUUUGUUUGGUUGCUUAUAUUUGAUAUUAGAGUUUGAUGAUUAAAGAUGCAAACACCAAAGUUAAUCAUAAAAUCCAAAUUCCAAUUUAGGCCAAAAAGGAGGAAGAGGUGAUACUUUGAAUCAAAGAAAUCAUAUAUCUUAUAUUCAAUAUUAUAAUAAAAAAAAUGGUUAUUAUAAGUCGAAAUGAAGUACAUGAAGAUCAAAUGAGACAAAUUUUAAAGUUAAUAUUGUUGAAGAAGAGAAAGGUGAAAAUUUAGAGACCCUAUUAUCAAUAUAUGCAAUGUUGCAGAAGAAGAAAACAAAAAUGUAUAAUUUUUACCUACAGGGUUGUAUCAAUCAUAUGUAUUGGAAAGAUAUGUUUGGAUUAAUCCAACGGCUAGGACUUGGGAGAACGUCUAGUUAAAGACGGGACUUGUGUUGGAAUGGACCAUAGGUAGAGCCUUAGGCUAUUAUUGGUUAUUAGAAAAUGUGAGGGAAAAUAUGAAAGUAAGAAAAUAAAGAGAAAAAAUAAAAAGAAAAAAAGAAAAAAUGAAGCAAAAUAAAAAAUAUAUUAUUUUUAUGUAAUGCUUUAAAUACAUUUUAUUUUUUUUUAUGUAAAAAUUAAAUAAAAUAUAAAAUAUAUAAAUUUUUUACUAAUUUUAAUUAUAUUUUAUUUUCUUUGAUAGUUUCACUCAUACAAUCAAAAUAGAAUAAUUUCUAUUAUUUAUUUAUCUUUUCUUAAUACUUUGUAGGAAUGAAAUAUAACUUAAAAAUGUUUCCCACACUCAUAUAUCGAUUUUUAUCCUACUUUUGGAGAACAACUGAUUGGAGUUCUUGUCUGAUCUUGGAUUCUACCAAUGGGUUCUUGGAAACAAGCCAGAAAAACUAGCUGAAAGUUGAACUAGCAGUGGCCCGUCCCGCAAUCAUGAAAUUUAGAAUGGUGUCUAUGGUCACAUUUCAACCCCAUGGCGUUAUUUUCACUCAUAUAUGAAGUUAACAGAUCGACACCAUCUUCAUCUUCUUGCAAUAAUUGGGGAUUCCUUUGCCUAAUUCUUCUUGUUUCGUUGAUAUAUAUUCAUUUAUAGUACGAUCUAGGGUUUCCCAAUCUUUCUGGAGUUUAUUCUCUUUUCCAAUCCCUGGCCACCUUUGUAGUCUCCAAAGGGCUCAGGUAAAGCAUGGCGGUAAAAUAAAGCUUCUUCAACAUCUUCCAAGGCUGUCACGAAUGGAACUUGAGGGAACUCAAUGAAGAGGCAUUAGGUGUGGAAGCCGGUCGCUAACAUGUAGGUGGUAUCAAAUGUAAGCCUUUGGAACAAGUCCUGCAAGUCCACCACUAGGCCUUGCUUCGACUCAAGAAUCCGAACAAGCCCUUUCUCCACUCUGUUCUGGGUGAUUUUCGCAAGAAACAAGUGCAACCGUGCAUGGUUUAUUGUCAAUUUGAGCGAGUUUUCUUUGGUUCCGUCAUGAUUCUGUGUCCAAAUUGAAAAUCCCAUUACCGAAGACAUCAAACAUCUUCGUGGACUCCGACCCUUUUGGAAAAUUAAUAGAGAAGUUACCGUUCUUAAUGUAGUGCACACAUGGAUGAAAAUGUUGAUAAAAUAUCGAUGAAAUUUUGGAUAUCGGAAGUGGUCAAUACGAGAUUGAUCAGCGAUUAGUGGUUAGCCAAUAUAUCCCCGAUAUUUCCAUCAAUAUUUUUGCGCUCCUCUUACCUUUUUGCUUGAUCAACUCGAUCAAAGUAUAAAAAUGAUUUAACUUUGCACAGAAAGGGGAUUCCAACCUGGGUUAAAAGGAAUCCAUUCAUCUAAAGCACAAUAAUAUUCAUUUUGAUACUAAAACACUAUUACCAUGUAAUAUGUAUGAAUUGUUCUCAUUGAAUAAAAUCAAAGAUUUCUUAUCCUAAUUCUUAGUGUGCACUUCCAAUAUUCAUAUUUUGUAACUUUAAAAUCCAAGUACCGAUAUAUCCAUAUUUAUUAAUAUUUUUAUCCUUAACCAUAUCUAUAUCAAUUAUAUUUACAAACUAACUUUAAUAUGAAUUUUUUUUUUGCUUAUUUUAUCAUUUUUGAAGUUUUUUUCAAUCAUUUUUAUGAAUUUUGAAUAAUUUUUGUCAAGAUAUUCAUUGAUGUUUUCAUUAUAUUCGUAAAAUUUAAGUAUUAAUAUAUCCGUAUUUAUCGAUAUUUUCAUUUUUGCGUGCAUACUAACAACAUCAAUGGUGCUUAAUAUAUCCAUACUGUAGAACCAAGGCCCUUUGAAUAGAGAAGUGCUCCCAAUUUUCUCUACAACUUCGAUAUUCUUAUCUUGGAUGCGUAGAGGUGAAGGAGGAGGUUCAAAAACAUCCCGAGGAAGGGCCAGUUCCAUGGCAGCCCAUUUUUGUUGCAGAAUCCAGCAAGAAUGAGAAAUAAUUAAUUGACUGCCAACAGGAUUUCAGGGUAGCCCAGUGAAGCCAUUAGAGCUGCAUUUUGCUUAAAGCUAGGGUUUGUCAUCUCUACUAAAUCUGUAAGUGUAACUAUAUAUAUUGUAAAGUUUCAAUUGAAGCAAUAAGCUAAAUAGCAUAUUUGUUGCGAGGUUCAUACACAGUAACAAAUGGUAUUCUUUUUUGGUAAGUAUUGAAAAGACACCAUUAAUCAAGUGGUAUCGUAUAUAUAUUUUCAAGUCUCAUUAUUUAUAUCCCAAUCUUAUCUGCUUGUAUCUUUAUACCUUAGUAUCAUUUACCCGUUCAGAUUUAGACUUUAAUAGAUAUCUCUCGAAUGUCAUAGCAUUUUCCUUAUAGUAAAGUAAUGCACUAGGUAUCAAAGAACCAACUAUUAUUGAUUUUGUGGGUUGAUGUAGACAUGAAUCCAAGCCUACUUGCAUCGAUAGCUAAAGUAUACAUAGAGUACUGUGUGUCUCCAAAAAGCCCGCGGCCCGCUUUAGGCCCGGCCCGUAGGCCCGCCCCUUUAACUACAAAAAUAAAAAGUAUUAAAAAAAAUAUACUUUAUUUUUAUAUAUAUAUAACUAACUCAUUUAAUAAGCAUAAAAGGAAUGUAGCUCAGUUGGUUAGAGCCUUGAAAUUUAAACUUGAGGGGAGGGGUUCAAAUCCCCCCCUCCCUUCCUUUAUUUAAAAGUCAUUUUGGCUUAUUUAAAAAAGCCCGCUAGCCCGGCCCGCCCAGCCCGCCCCCCAGCCCGCGGGCUCAUAAGCCGGGCCGCGGGCCUAGAAUUUUAGCAUGGCCUGGCCCGGUCCGGCCUGGCCCGGUCCGGCCUGGCCCGCCCAUUGGAGACCCUUAUAGAGUACAACCCUUAUGAUGAUGACAUCAUACCAUAGCUAAAGUAUACAUAGAGUACAACCCUUAUGAUGAUGACAUCAUACUAUACUCCAAUUCUGUUCAUAAAAUGAUUUGAAUCCAUAUUACUCAACAUUUUUAGAUUAUUUCAUACCAUUAAUUUAUUUAGGAAAAUGCCAUGCCAUCGAAUUUGUAAUGUGAUUUAUUGGUUUAUAUAAUGGAUCAAUAGGCACACAAAAUAAUAAAAUUAAGAUGCAAAUAAAUAAAUUUUAGGUAUAAAUAAUUAAGAAAUAAAACUUAGGGAAAAAGAAAUGUGAUAUAAACCUAAUAAAAAAAAGAAAAUAAAAUUAAGGUAUGAAUAAAUAAAAUUGAACUAAAAAUAAAUAAAAUCUAAGUCAAAGUAUACAUAAAUAAGACUAUUAAUAUCACAUAAUACAUUGUAGAAAAUCUUUCCAUGGCAUGACCCACUUUUUGAUCUUUUACGGUCAUUUUCAACAUGUGAGCAAAUUGUUGUACCAAAACCAUAGAUAUAAAUAAAAAAGGAUAAUUGUCUUUUGCACCAGUUGGCCAGAAAUCAAAAUUUGACCCAUAAAAAUUACAUAAUUGAUAAAGAGGAUAUAAAAUAUGAGAAGACUAAUAUAACCUUCAAAAUUAUUUUCUAUCAUAAUAUUUGAAAAACUUUUUUAUCUUAAUUUUUUUUAAAUAAUUAUUAUGAAAAUUUAUUAUUUUUAGAAAACUAAUUUUUUUAAAAAUAUAUUAUAAAAAUAUAUCAUUUAAAAAAAAUAAAUUUGAUAUAUUUUUAGUUAUUUUUUAUAUACAUAAUUUUAAAAAUAUAUAUUUUCCAAAAUGUUUGAUUUUUAAAUAAUAAUAAUUUAUUUUUGGAAAAUAGUGUAUUUUUUUUUCAAAUCACUAAAUUAUAUUAAAUUUUACUAAGAUUUUCAAAAUGAAUAAAAUUUAAAUUUUUUUAUUUUUUAUUUUUUAUUUUUUAUAGUCAAUAAAGAUCAUUUUUUGAAAGAUAAAAAUUUUAUAUAUUUCUUAUUAAUUUUCACACUUCCUUUAGGUUUUAGUCUUAAAUAGUGAACUUAUAUGAACCAAAAUUUAAUUUUUUAACCCAACUACGUUCAAAACACAAUUAUCACGUAUAAAAAUGAACAAUGGGAUAGGUGUGGCAAUAAAGAGACCCUCUCAAAAGUAGUACUGUUUCCUUAUAUUGCAAAGCCACUCUGGGAAAAACCAUUCGUAAACAACUCUGACGAUGAUGCUCAAAAUGAUCAUUUUUCACUUGCUAAUUUACAAUAUUUAUCUAGCUGGCUAUCAUAUUUCCAAGAAGUUGUGUUCUGAACAUAACUGCAACAAAGUAUAUUAGCAAGGUGACUGAAAUAUUUUGCUUAUCUCAUGUUCUCAAUAAUACAAGUUUAAUUUAUUUAUAUAGAAGGUGAAAAAAAAGGCAUAUCAUUGGUGGUUUUGUUUUUGCUUCGGAAUUCGAUAAUGUUUUCAAAAAUAGAAAAAUAUUUCAAAACACUUCCAAUUUGUUUUAAAAAAUAAUAGGUUUUCAGGACAAAUUCUUGAAAAAUAUUUUUGAGUUAAUAGUUUUUAAGUAGAUCCUUUGCCUUGCAAAUCCCAGGUUCAUGUAACCCAAUAUUCAUUUUAUGAAUAUAUUUCCUUGGACCAGAAUUUAACUAAAGUUUUCUAUCAUAAAUAUUAUUGUAUCUUAUCAGUCUUUAUUACCUACCAACCAUGUUGUCAUCAGAGUAGAUACCAUUGUUAUUGCAUGUGGACCAACCUUUUAGACUUUGUCAAAAAUGUUAGCUAGAAAAUCAGCUUGGCCCUCUGCUAUAUUUAUUGAUCACAUUAUUCAUAUUUAAGAUCACACCCUCCCACCCCACAUGAUUCUAAAUGUCAUAAGUAUGCAUAAUUCAUUGGAUUCAACAGUAUCCUUGUGAUAGAAAAGGAAAGAAAAGAAUAUUUAAUAUCUGGCCUAGUGAAUGCCAGUAUUGAGAGCUCCCACCAUAGUAUGAUAUUCAAUGAUAUAUUGAUUAUAUAAUGAACCACCAUCAAAUGAGGAGAGUUUUUUUGUGAAACAAAGCAGGAGAACCACAAGGCUUGAAUUCUUUCACAUUUGUGCAUUCCAAAACAGAGGUAGCAUACUUGGUUUGAUUCAAAUGUAAUGAUACAGAAGAGCAAGUUCCUUCAUUAAUGUCAAGAAAAUAAUGAAGAUCACAAUGAUCUUUCAUGGAAAAAUUAAUGGAGGAUAGCCAAGCUAGAAUGAUUUUGUUGAAUUUUGAAUUUUGCCUUAGUAUCUGCUAGAAUUUGAAUUUUGAAAUUAAAUAUUGCAGCUGGAGUCUUGCACAAAAUCUGCAACAUCCAAAUAUUUUCUUGUUUUUAUUUGGUUAGGAUUUGGUUUGAUUUCUAUUUUAUAGAAAGUAGUUGUUCAUUAUCUAGUAACUUGAUUUUCUGCUAUUCUAAUGUCAUUUCAGUUACAAGCUCAUGUAUAAAUUCAACACUCUUCAUCAAUAAAAUGUGUGUUCCAACAACCCAAAAAUAUAUAUUUUGCAUAAGUGUUUAAUCUAAGAUCAACAGUUUUGAGGUAAUGCUAAUAAGGAGCUAGUAAGAAUAAGGACAUGAUCAAUAUAAAGUAGGAGAAUUAUACGUAAUAUCAUUAGAUGAAUGGAGAACAAACAUUAGAAGAUCAACAUGACUAGAAAUGAUGACAUAUUAGGCAAGACUGACAAAAUUAUGUGAAAAAACAUGAUAUACAUUGAGAAUCUAAUUCCUACAAACCUAAUAUGAUAUUAAAUCUUGGCUUGAUAGGAAAUUGUGUUUAAAUUGUCUUUCCAUAAUUUGCAUAUGACUAUUUGCAGUUGUUUGUCUAAAUAUGGGUACAAGGCUGCACGUGAGAAAGAGUAUUAAAGAGCAUGGUUUACGUUGUGAACCAAAAUCCUAUAUGCUUAACCUUUUAGGAAAAUUGGUAAUUUAACAAGUUAAAGUAUUAAAAUCAAGCACAAGGGGCUUCUUUCAAACCAUAAAUGGCUCAAUUUAACUUGCAAACAUUCCGAGGUUGAGUGGCAUCUUCAAAUCCUUGUGGUUGUGGAAUAUAGAAUUCAGUUGUGGAAUUGAUAUUAGGUUUAUAUUAUAAUAUAUAUAUAAUCAAAUACAAUAAAAACUAAUUAAAAACUUAUAUAUUUUCAAAUUAUUUCAUCUUUACAUUAAAGAAUUAAAAAAAGUGAAAUAAGUUUGAAAUAACAUAUAAAAAUAAUUUAUUAACUUUAAAUAUAUAUUUUAUUUGUUUUUUUUUCUUUCAUUCAUGUUUUCUCUUACAUUUUUUGGAAACUAAACAUAGCCUAAAUGAAUAUAAUUAGAAUCUUUUUUUAGAGGAGAACCUAGACAACAAAGAGUAUAAAGAAACAAUGGUUUGAAUUGCAAAUUGUAAAUCAAUAUGGUCUAGCAAUGAAAUAAUCGAAACGAUGGAUAUGGUUGUAUUAAGGUUAAGGUAAUAAUAGUGUUACAAAAUAACAAGAAUAAAUAAUAAGAAAUAAAAUAAAAUAAAAAUAUAUAGAUUUAAAAUCAACACAAGAGGAGAAAGGUGUGAGUGGUUAUCGCAAAAAUAUAAUCAUCAUAACCCUAAAAACUAUAUAUAUAGUGUGCAUUUAAGGGGAGGGAGAGGAGUAAUAAAUAAAGCAGAUCCUCUAAAAAAUCUCAUGAUUUUAGCUUCAUCAUUUAUGUCGUACAAUGAGAUUUUGAGAUCGGAUUAAAUAGAAUUCGGGACUCUAAUAAAUAGAACAAAAAAGAGUAGCAUUCAUCAAAUCCAAUAUUACAAGAAACAGAGAGAAUAUUUAUGACGGGAGAUAGAGACAAUAAGUUUAGGUAUGAUGGACCCAUUAUAUCCCCAUGAAUACCAAAGCAUCCGAAAAUUCGCCUACCAGAAUAAGUAGGACGGUCCAAAUAAAACCUCACGAAGAGAUGAAGUUUGGCUAAUACUGAUGUGGGUGGAAGAUUGAUAUGUAAAACAAAAGAGAAAAUGUUUCAAUGCAAUAGGUGUUUCAAUAUGCAUAUAUCCCACUGUCGAGGACAAGAAUUACUUUGACAAUCAAGUUACAAUAAGACUUUUGGCAACAGGUGGGGGCCACUAAACUGUCACGAUUUAAUACUUGGAUGGCCUUAGCCAAGACCAACACGUACAUAUCACAGCCUACUUCACACAUUUGAUUUAUGGAAUAUAAUAUGGGAUAAAUUAAGAGAUAGAAUAAUUUAUUAUACCUCAUAUUUAAUUUACAAUGAAAUGGAUUAAGUUUUCAUUUAUUCAAUCCGAUUUUCUUUUUUAUUUAUAACCUCUACAUAUGAAUAUAAUAAUAAUAAUAAUAAUAAUAAUAAUAAUAAUAAAGUUAGAUUUAUUAUUAUUUAUUGUCUUAUCCUAUUUUGAUUAAAAAAAUUAAAAUUUUAAUUGGAAAAAGAAUAAAAAAUAAAAGAUAUGUGAAAUGAUACAAUCUAAAAUAAUACUAAUAUAUUUUGCAAUAUAAUAUAAUAUAAUAUUUUUAUUUAUAAGUUUUAAAUGUAUUAAUCAUAAUAUUACUAACAAAGACAUAAAAUAAUAUUCACUAAAUUAUAAAUUAUAGAGUGAUUUUAAAAUUCUUUUAAUAUAUAGCUGGAAAGAGAUUUCAUAUUUUUCAUUCCAUUUUGUAUGUAUAAACUGAGCACACUUGGACAUUGAAAUAGACACAAGUACAACUGACACAGUUUGAGAUUGAAAUCGAUAGAAGGCUGGCUAGGUAGGUAGUUUUUCAUGCAUGCAACAAAGAUCAAACAACACGACAUUUCUACCCACCCCAUCUCUUGCUAACUCUGACCUUGAACCCACGCUUCAUGUACAGAAUAAUGGAAACGUUAGGGGCCACAUGGUGACCUUUCACCAUCUCAACAUGGUAGUUGUGGAUUAUCGUGGCGGCCACCGCCUUCAUUUGAGUGAAAGCCACCUCCUUCCCUAUACAAGUCCUCGGACCAGCGUUGAAUGAAAAGAACUUGUAGGAAGGCUCAUGCUUGAUCUUUCCUAGCUCUGAAAUCCACCUCUCCGGUUUGAAUUCUAAGCAGUCUUUUCCCCAUAUUGCAGUCAUUCUGCCCAUUGCAUACACGGGAAAGAAGAUCUUCAUCUUUGGAUCAACCUUAUGGCCACUUGGGAGGACGUCUGGUUGAAUUGGGGCCUUGUGCUGGAAUGGGACAGGUGGGUAGAGCCUUAAAGCUUCACACAUUGCGGCAUGCAGAUAAACCAGCUUGUUUAACCCUUCUGUCUUGAAUAUGUGUCGUCCUUUUCUAUCCUCUUUUUCGGGUAUAGCCGUUUCGAUUUCUUCUCUGAUCUUGGAUUCUACUAAUGGGUUCUUGGAAACAAGCCAGAAAAACCAGGUGAGGGCUGAACUAGUAGUGUCCCGUCCUGCGAUCAUGAAAUUUAGAAUGGUGUCUCUGAGAAACUUACCGUCACAUUUCAACCCUAUGGCGUUAUCUUCAGUCAUAUACGAGGUUAACAGAUCGGCACCAUCUUCAUCUUCUCGCA
Molecule: long non-coding RNA, 11619 nt
Filed under: Vitis vinifera (wine grape)
Lineage: Eukaryota; Viridiplantae; Streptophyta; Magnoliopsida; Vitales; Vitaceae
Description: long non-coding RNA (VVIN_LNC002289)
Rfam family: tRNA (bases 5835-5907)
Source: RNAcentral